AAAAAAGCAAAUCAUGGGUUUCCGUGUCCAAUUUUAACUGUUCGUGUUAUAUGAAAUUUUUUUAUAAUUCGUAUUUUCAUUGUUGCUAGAUGAUAAAACAUGAUUAAUAUUUUAUGCGUGACUUGUCUUUUUAAUUUUUUUCGUAAUUUUUUCAAAUAAGACGAACGGUUAAAUAUUGGGCACGGAAACCAGGGUUUGUCUUUUU
This is a microRNA precursor of Oryza rufipogon (brownbeard rice), 205 nucleotides long. It matches the Rfam family "MIR812 microRNA precursor family". The record is from Rfam. NCBI's taxonomy places the organism in Eukaryota, Viridiplantae, Streptophyta, Magnoliopsida, Poales, Poaceae.